RNAcentral lists this ribosomal RNA (484 nucleotides) under uncultured bacterium. Its description in RNAcentral is "SSU rRNA". It matches the Rfam family "Bacterial small subunit ribosomal RNA", at positions 26 to 523 of the family's 1533-position model. The record is from RNAcentral.
AGGACGAACGCUGGCGGCGUGCCUAACACAUGCAAGUCGAACGCGCUCCAUUCGGUAGCAAUACUGAUGAAGAGCGAGUGGCGAACGGGUGAGUAGCACGUGAGCAACCUGCCCCGAAGACUGGGACAACACCGGGAAACCGGUGCUAAUACCGGAUAUCCCUAUCGGACCGCAUGAUCUGAUAAGGAAAUGGAUUCCGCUUCGGGAGGGGCUCGCGGCCUAUCAGCUAGUUGGUGGGGUAACGGCCCACCAAGGCAUCGACGGGUAGCUGGUCUGAGAGGACGAUCAGCCACACUGGGACUGAGACACGGCCCAGACUCCUACGGGAGGCAGCAGUGGGGAAUCUUGCGCAAUGGGCGAAAGCCUGACGCAGCAACGCCGCGUGGAGGACGAAGGCUUUCUGAGUUGUAAACUCCUUUCAGCAGGGACGAUAGUGACGGUACCUGCAGAGAGCACGGCAACUACGUGCCAGCAGCCGCGGUAA